AGGAAUUCCUUAGGGUAGGUUCACAAAUCUCAUUUCCCCCAAAAUCCCGUUCUUCAUUCCAGGGAAACCAUAUCUCCUUCAUACCUUUCCCCGUGAAGUUCGACUAGCGAUUUCUCCUCUCCAUUUCCCUACGACCUAGUAGAUAGACUCUACACAAAGAGAAUUUGAAGAAAUGAGCAUGAAUUUUUGCUUGAGUCCUUAAGAUUCUGACGCAAUGGGUCCUUAAGAUUCUGAGAAAAUGGACUCAGGUGACGAUUAUUCGGAAAUCAGAAUCAUGUAUUUCAGUUGCUGAUGCUGAGCAAACGGAUUUAGUUUGAGGACGUGGAAGUUCGGGAACCACGUCUCAGCCAAAAAUACAACCAAUAGGGAUUACCGAGGUAUCUCUAGAGACAGGAUAAUCAUGUAUUUCAAGAGAAGGGCCUCUACAAACAGGACAAGAUGUUCCAAGAGCAAAUGGUUGCUAUCAUGACUAGAAUGCAAUAGGAACAAGGUUCUUAAAUAAUGGGGCUGCCCAAGGAUAAGCCUGAAGGUGUGCAAUGAAAGAUUUUACAUCAAAUGUGUGUAUGCAUAUAAUGUCACAUAUUUAAUAUGUACUAUGCAAUUGGCUUUCUAGUAAUGGACUUGUAAUAUUCGGCUUGGGGAUGCUUUUGCAGUUUGUAAAAUACUACUGCUUUUAAUAGCUAAAUAUCAAGUUUAGAGAA
Long non-coding RNA from Solanum stenotomum, 701 nucleotides. RefSeq lists it as uncharacterized. The transcript is spliced from 3 exons. The record is from RefSeq and is a predicted model, not a curated record. Lineage: Eukaryota; Viridiplantae; Streptophyta; Magnoliopsida; Solanales; Solanaceae.